This is a long non-coding RNA of Bombus pyrosoma, 3518 nucleotides long. RefSeq lists it as uncharacterized. The transcript has 3 exons. Lineage: Eukaryota; Metazoa; Arthropoda; Insecta; Hymenoptera; Apidae. The record is from RefSeq and is a predicted model, not a curated record.
GAUGUGGGUGAACAAGUGUGAUACGUGUCUUGGAAUUUUAUAGCCCUCGAGCAGAAGUCAAUGGUACUCGCUCGAGUCACCGAUGUCAAGCAACUAUCAAGGCCGAGCGUGAUCCGACUGAACGCGGAUCAAUAUUAUGGCAAAAGGAAAAGUACUGGUCGGCCGUCAUCGCUAUCCGAUCGUGAUAAGCGAGCAAUUUUGAGCGUAGCUUCCAACACGCAGUUAACAACGAAGCCAAUAAUGGAAAAAUCUAGUGUUAUUGCCAGUGUUUCAAGUGUUCGUCGAGUUCCACUUGAUUGGAAAGUAUAUUCGAUACAUGUAUGUUUACCGUAGAUCUAUAGACUAUUUUCUUUUUUCAGGAAGCUUCUCAAUUAAGUAACAUUAAAUCUCUUGAAGUUGGAGAUGCGGGAUACAAAGGGAAGGGGACGAGAUAAACGUAUUUGUAUCCCGCAGCGAAUGCGAAAUAAAAUGGCAGAAAGAAAGGUAGAUACCUCACUGGUAACUCGAUUUUCUAGGUUUCUCUCUUUUGGUGUAGUUCGACCUCUUGCCUUUUCUCGUCCCCGAAAAUGCAUCCUGUCACCUACCAAACGAUAAUGUAUUUUCUGAUAGGGCUACGGGGAACGUUUUAAAUCUGAUUGAAACGACAACGCUUUCAUUCAAUGCAUGCUGGAAACCGAGCUUGCCUGCUGGCAUCCUGUGUUCUGAACCUUUUAACUUUAUCUUAUAUCGCGAUUCCGCAUAAUCUUGUAAAUUUUUGCCUGUGUCUUUUCCCGCUUUAUCAGAAUCUUUUAUAAGACGUUCGCGGAAAUUUUCCGAAAAAUCGUUGUCCCAAAAAAUUAGGUUGCAUUCGGUGCUUCAGCUCUGUCGCGCAUUUUACCAAAUAUUAUUUCAACAAUGGCUAUUCAUUGGAGGAUCAGCAGGAUUUACGGUGUCUUAACUUGUCCGGGAAGGGUUGUCCGGAAAAGGAAAGGAAGAAUUUCUUUCGAGGGCUGCGCGUGACAGCGGGUUCCGAUUCUUGCGAGGCAGUUCCGUCGGGACAAAAAGGCCAUUACUCGUGGACGAAUAUUUUUGACACAAUAACUUGCUUUCCGCUAUUCGUGGGCUAUUUAGUAAAACUUCACCGUUGGUUACCUUUUUCUAUAUAAAUUCCACGAAGAAAAAUCGAUGUUGAACGGUUCUUAGAAUUUCGCGUGUUGAGUACUUCUUCAAGUUUUUUUUUUUUUUUUUAAAGACGAAAUCGAGAUUUAACGAAUUAUUCGAAGAACAGAAUUAUUCGAUGAUGACUAUCGAUCUUUCGACGAAAUAUAAUUUUCCCCUUUCGACGUAAUUUAGCAUACUUUUGCUCGCAUGCAACCGGCGUGUGAGAAUCGAACUGCGAAGUACUUUGAUUUUACUCGACCACGUUUAACGAAUUGCUCAACCUAUCGAAGAGCGCAUUUCAUUGCCAGGUUAGAUUGUCCCUGUCUGAAUUAAGCAGCAGUAAACGGUAGAAACUAAUUUAUAGGCUGACUUGCCGAGAAUCUCAGAUUUUGAUUAUCUCGUGGAACGAUCGAAUCUCCUUUUUCGUUUGAAAUUUUACCACGGCAUCGGCUACGAUCAAUUCUAGGAUUUGCUCGAUGAGAUUGCAACAUGUUCCUCUGGACAACUGAUCAAUUUCUCCAAGAGUGGUCUGUUAUUGCUGAUAAAUUUCGUUGUUGUAACGUCAUCGAGAAUGAGCUCGUCUUUCGACAUAUCAAAACACCUUUUGGAAGAUUUCUUCGCUAAAUAUCUCGCGCGUACAACUCAUUGCUGACAUAUGCAACUAAAUCUUCACGCGCAUUCUACGAAUCGCUGUACAUUCUGCAAGGAUAAUUUAGCAGGAACGUUCGUUCGAUUCUCAAUAUUUCGUCGUCGCGCGAAAUCUCACUGCCGCAAUAUUUCAAAAAAUAACUUUUAUCUAAUCCUGUAGCGAGUUUGCUGCAGACGAGGAAUUCUCGUAAUCCCGUAGAAUCUCAAUCGUCUCGCGCGACUCUUCAAAUAAAGUUUUCAUAAGUUUUCUUCUAGCCAAACGAUGAAAGAAUGGCAGGAAAUCUUUUGCCAUUGGAAGUAACGAAUCACGCUUUUCCUAACUUUUCAAUCUUAGUAAGAUAGCAUCGGUGUUACGCAAGCUGCCAUUACGAGAAGAAGAUAAAGAGUGUUAGAAGAAAAGAAGAGCGUAGCGACGAUGACAGCGCUGAUAACGAUGCAGUGACAAACACAGUACGAAGGAUUUUGCGUUCGCCUAUGUAUCGCUCAUCCGUACCGAUAACAUCUUAUUAAUAUUGCACGAUGAGGUUUCCACGAUGAUUUCGUCGACAAUGUGUCGUUUUCGAAUACGUUAUCGAUUCGAACUUUCUUCAUAUUCUACGGACACACUAUGAUUAUUAGAACGGAAGCGAACGUCUGCGAUAAAAGGGAUGCAAGAAGUAUCAGAAAUAUGGAAGAAAUAAAAUGAAGGAAAAAGCUUAAUAAUUAAAGCAUCCUCUCGCAACACGAUUUUACUUUUUCGUUUGAUUAAAUGAGACAACCUGUACCCGGUUCGAUACACGUCGCACGUUGCACAUGCACAAUGUAUUAUAUCAAUAACUACCGUGAAACGUCGGCAAAGUUGAUUACAACAGCUUAACGAAAGCCGUUGAUGAGUUUUCCAUUUCACGAUGGCCUCGACUGCAACGUAUCUCUCGGCAAGAAUUUUUUAAUCCGAUAUCCGUGCAUCGUCGAGUAUUUUUGUGCAAUUUUCUUUCGUAACGCACCUGUUCUUCUUUCGCAUCUUUGAAUAGACGUACGCUUGUUCGAAUGGCACGACGAAUUCCGACUGUUUUUCGUUUUCAAGAUUGAUUAUACUCGAACGACGCGUUAGGGAAACAAUGUGAAAAAUGUUAGUCCGUCAGGCUGUUAGAUAUGUACAUCAACAUGGAUGGAUGGAUGGAUGGAUUGAACCCAAUGGUUGAAUUUAUAAUCGUCAAACUCGAAUUUCGAAAUCUUCUCCGACGGGAAAAUUGCAAUAACUCCGUUUUUUAAAAUCAUCUUUGUUCGCCUAAAAGGAAAAAGUAUUUCUGCAAUCUUGAAAUAUGAAUAUCAAGCACAAUUACGACAACCAUGAUACUGAACUUUGGUGGAGAUAAUUGCAUCUUUGUGUUCAUUUGUUGCGGUAUAACGUGCGACAGCUUCGUUUCCUUUCUAUUUUCAAAAGCGACAUGGUGAAUAUGCUAUACGACGGAGUACGUCACUAUGACGAGUGUUUCAGAAGCCAGUAUCGAUUACGCUUUGCGUAUAGUUCUCAGUUUUGUUAUCCAGGUACAAGAUUAAUAUUCAAUUCUUAAAGAAAAUGAUCUACCUGCGUAAGUUCAUGCAUCGGAAAACGUACCACAAAUAACAAUAGGUACGAUUCUUCUUUACUAUGAUGUACACGUAACCGUAUAAUAUGUCGUCCGAUUAAUCCUAAAAUCGUGUUGAAUGCGAUGAAAUGUGCGUUUAAUUACAGAGAAAAUUUCAUAUAU